GGGGAGCAUCCAUAUGCCGAGAUGUUGCCUGAUACAGUCUUCCUAAAGAAAAAUACUGCUGUUUCCUACUUGUAGUGCUUGAGCAAGCCUGCAAGUCUCAAAUAAACAGUGACAAAU
Molecule: small nucleolar RNA, 117 nt
Organism: Medicago truncatula (barrel medic)
Lineage: Eukaryota; Viridiplantae; Streptophyta; Magnoliopsida; Fabales; Fabaceae
Rfam family: Small nucleolar RNA snoR104
Source: Rfam